Molecule: ribosomal RNA, 83 nt
Filed under: Deinococcus reticulitermitis
Lineage: Bacteria; Thermotogati; Deinococcota; Deinococci; Deinococcales; Deinococcaceae
Description: 16S rRNA. Bacterial SSU
Rfam family: Bacterial small subunit ribosomal RNA
Source: RNAcentral
AUUUUAUGGAGAGUUUGAUCCUGGCUCAGGGUGAACGCUGGCGGCGUGCUUAAGACAUGCAAGUCGAACGGCCUUCUUCGGAA